This 253-nucleotide ribosomal RNA is filed under the name uncultured bacterium. RNAcentral's name for it is "partial 16S ribosomal RNA". It matches the Rfam family "Bacterial small subunit ribosomal RNA", at positions 524 to 776 of the family's 1533-position model. The record is from RNAcentral.
UACGUAGGGGGCAAGCGUUGUCCGGAAUUACUGGGCGUAAAGGGCUCGUAGGCGGCCAACUAAGUCGGAUGUGAAAUCCCCAGGCUUAACCUGGGAACUGCAUCCGAUACUGGAUGGCUUGAAUCCGGGAGAGGGAUGCAGAAUUCCAGGUGUAGCGGUGGAAUGCGUAGAUAUCUGGAGGAAUACCGGUGGCGAAGGCGGCAUCCUGGACCGGCAUUGACGCUGAUGAGCGAAAGCUAGGGGAGCAAACGGG